GGUUCCUGGCGACGGGGCCGGAGCUGGCGCAGUCCGCACAGCUCUACGACAUCAGCGGCGACAAGAUGAAGCUCCUGCUCGACUUCCCGACCAUCGGCGAGCCCCACUACGCGCAGGCGAUCGAUGCGAAGCUGAUUCGGGAUAAGCAGCUCAAGUUCUUCAAGCUCGCAGAGAACAAGCAUCCAUACGUGGCCCGCGCCGAAACGGAAACGAACGUGACGCGCAGCGGGAACGUCGUGCAUGUCAAGAUGACGGCGAUCCGCGGCCACUUUGCUCCAGACAACAUCGAAGGCGUGCAGGCAGGUGACACCGUGUACUUCCACGUCACCAACC
This 333-nucleotide ribosomal RNA is filed under the name uncultured prokaryote. Its description in RNAcentral is "partial 16S ribosomal RNA". The record is from RNAcentral.